GACGAACGCUGGCGGCGUGCCUAAUACAUGCAAGUUGAGCGCUGAAGGUUGGUACUUGUACCGACUGGAUGAGCAGCGAACGGGUGAGUAACGCGUGGGGAAUCUGCCUUUGAGCGGGGGACAACAUUUGGAAACGAAUGCUAAUACCGCAUAAAAACUUUAAACACAAGUUUUAAGUUUGAAAGAUGCAAUUGCAUCACUCAAAGAUGAUCCCGCGUUGUAUUAGCUAGUUGGUGAGGUAAAGGCUCACCAAGGCGAUGAUACAUAGCCGACCUGAGAGGGUGAUCGGCCACAUUGGGACUGAGACACGGCCCAAACUCCUACGGGAGGCAGCAGUAGGGAAUCUUCGGCAAUGGACGAAAGUCUGACCGAGCAACGCCGCGUGAGUGAAGAAGGUUUUCGGAUCGUAAAACUCUGUUGGUAGAGAAGAACGUUGGUGAGAGUGGAAAGCUCAUCAAGUGACGGUAACUAC
This 472-nucleotide ribosomal RNA is filed under the name uncultured bacterium. RNAcentral describes it as "bacterial SSU rRNA". It matches the Rfam family "Bacterial small subunit ribosomal RNA", at positions 28 to 482 of the family's 1533-position model. The record is from RNAcentral.